This 82-nucleotide small nuclear RNA is filed under the name Marmota marmota marmota (Alpine marmot). Its description in RNAcentral is "U4 spliceosomal RNA (ENSMMMG00000015648.1)". It matches the Rfam family "U4 spliceosomal RNA", at positions 1 to 82 of the family's 138-position model. Rfam says of the family: U4 small nuclear RNA (U4 snRNA) is a component of the major U2-dependent spliceosome. The structure of U4 snRNA from yeast and human has been reported. The record is from Rfam by way of RNAcentral. Lineage: Eukaryota; Metazoa; Chordata; Mammalia; Rodentia; Sciuridae.
AGCUUUGCGCAGUGGCAGUAUCGUAGCCAAUGAGGUUUAUCCGAGGCGCGAUUAUUGCUAAUUAAAAAUUAGAACUGAUGGU